Molecule: ribosomal RNA, 382 nt
Filed under: uncultured bacterium
Lineage: Bacteria
Description: bacterial SSU rRNA
Rfam family: Bacterial small subunit ribosomal RNA
Source: RNAcentral
UCAGGCCUAACACAUGCAAGUCGAGCGGUAGCACAGAGAGCUUGCUCUCGGGUGACGAGCGGCGGACGGGUGAGUAAUGUCUGGGAAACUGCCUGAUGGAGGGGGAUAACUACUGGAAACGGUAGCUAAUACCGCAUAACGUCGCAAGACCAAAGUGGGGGACCUUCGGGCCUCAUGCCAUCAGAUGUGCCCAGAUGGGAUUAGCUGGUAGGUGGGGUAACGGCUCACCUAGGCGACGAUCCCUAGCUGGUCUGAGAGGAUGACCAGCCACACUGGAACUGAGACACGGUCCAGACUCCUACGGGAGGCAGCAGUGGGGAAUAUUGCACAAUGGGCGCAAGCCUGAUGCAGACGUGCCGCGUGUGUGAAGAAGGCCUUCGGG